This 497-nucleotide ribosomal RNA is filed under the name uncultured bacterium. RNAcentral describes it as "partial 16S ribosomal RNA". It matches the Rfam family "Bacterial small subunit ribosomal RNA", at positions 28 to 507 of the family's 1533-position model. The record is from RNAcentral.
GACGAACGCUGGCGGCGUGCCUAAUACAUGCAAGUUGAGCGCUGAAGGUUGGUACUUGUACCAACUGGAUGAGCAGCGAACGAGUGAGUAACGCGUGGGGAAUCUGCCUUUGAGCGGGGGACAACAUUUGGAAACGAAUGCUAAUACCGCAUAAAAACUUUAAACACAAGUUUUAAGUUUGAAAGAUGCAAUUGCAUCACUCAAAGAUGAUCCCGCGUUGUAUUAGCUAGUUGGUGAGGUAAAGGCUCACCAAGGCGAUGAUACAUAGCCGACCUGAGAGGGUGAUCGGCCACAUUGGGACUGAGACACGGCCCAAACUCCUACGGGAGGCAGCAGUAGGGAAUCUUCGGCAAUGGACGAAAGUCUGACCGAGCAACGCCGCGUGAGUGAAGAAGGUUUUCGGAUCGUAAAACUCUGUUGGUAGAGAAGAACGUUGGUGAGAGUGGAAAGCUCAUCAAGUGACGGUAACUACCCAGAAAGGGACGGCUAACUACGUG